This 406-nucleotide ribosomal RNA is filed under the name uncultured bacterium. RNAcentral's name for it is "partial 16S ribosomal RNA". It matches the Rfam family "Bacterial small subunit ribosomal RNA", at positions 29 to 526 of the family's 1533-position model. The record is from RNAcentral.
AUUGAACGCUGGCGGCAGGCCUAACACAUGCAAGUCGAACGAGUGGCGGACGGGGGAGUAAUGCCUGGGAAACUGCCUGAAGGAGGGGGAUAACUACUGGAAACGGUAGCUAAUACCACAUACCAUCGGAUGUGCCCAGAUGGGAGUAGCUAGUAGGUGGGGCAAAGGCUCACCUAGGCGACGAUCCCUAGCUGGUCUGAGAGGAUGACCAGCCACACGGCAACUGAGACACGGUCCAGACUCCUACGGGAGGCAGCAGUGGGGAAUAUUGCACAAUGGGCGCAGGCCUGAUGCAGCCAUGCCGCGUGUAUGAAGACGCCCUGCUGGUUGUAAAGUACUUGCAGCGGGGAGGCGUUACCCGCAGAAUAAGCACCGGCUAACUCCGUGCCAGCAGCCGCGGUAAUUC